UGGCAGACGGGUGAGUAACACGUGGGAAUCUACCCGGAGAUACGGGAAAACUGUUGGAAACAGCAGCUAAUACCGUAUAAGCCCUAGCAAUAGGGGAAAGAUUUAUCGUCUCCGGAUGAGCCCGCGCCGGAUUAGCUUGUUGGUGGGGUAAAAGCUCACCAAGGCACCGAUCCGUAGCUGGUCUGAGAGGAUGAUCAGCCACACUGGAACUGAGACACGGUCCAGACUCCUACGGGAGGCAGCAGUGGGGAAUUUUGCACAAUGGGCGCAAGCCUGAUGCAGCCAUGCCGCGUGAGUGAAGAAGGCCUUAGGGUUGUAAAACUCUUUCACCGGUUAGGAUAAUGACGUUAACCGGAGAAGAAGCCCCGGCUAACUCCGUGCCAGCAGCCGCGGUAAU
This 397-nucleotide ribosomal RNA is filed under the name uncultured bacterium. RNAcentral describes it as "bacterial SSU rRNA". It matches the Rfam family "Bacterial small subunit ribosomal RNA", at positions 96 to 524 of the family's 1533-position model. The record is from RNAcentral.